RNAcentral lists this ribosomal RNA (468 nucleotides) under uncultured bacterium. RNAcentral's name for it is "partial 16S ribosomal RNA". It matches the Rfam family "Bacterial small subunit ribosomal RNA", at positions 28 to 507 of the family's 1533-position model. The record is from RNAcentral.
GACGAACGCUGGCGGCGUGCUUAACACAUGCAAGUCGAACGGAAAGGCCCUGCUUUUGUGGGGUGCUCGAGUGGCGAACGGGUGAGUAACACGUGAGUAACCUGCCCUUGACUUUGGGAUAACUUCAGGAAACUGGGGCUAAUACCGGAUAGGAGCUCCUGCUGCAUGGUGGGGGUUGGAAAGUUUCGGCGGUUGGGGAUGGACUCGCGGCUUAUCAGCUUGUUGGUGGGGUAGUGGCUUACCAAGGCUUUGACGGGUAGCCGGCCUGAGAGGGUGACCGGCCACAUUGGGACUGAGAUACGGCCCAGACUCCUACGGGAGGCAGAAGUGGGGAAUAUUGCACAAUGGGCGGAAGCCUGAUGCAGCAACGCCGCGUGCGGGAUGACGGCCUUCGGGUUGUAAACCGCUUUCGCCUGUGACGAAGCGUGGGUGACGGUAAUGGGUAAAGAAGCACCGGCUAACUACGUG